UCAGAAUGAACGCUGGCGGCAGGCCUAACACAUGCAAGUUGAACGGAUCCUUCGGGAUUAGUGGCGGACGGGUGAGUAACGCGUGGGAACAUACCCAAAGGUACGGAAUAGCCUCGGGAAACUGGGAGUAAUACCGUAUGUGCCCUUCGGGGGAAAGAUUUAUCGCCUUUGGAUUGGCCCGCGUUGGAUUAGGUAGUUGGUGGGGUAAUGGCCUACCAAGCCGACGAUCCAUAGCUGGUUUGAGAGGAUGAUCAGCCACACUGGGACUGAGACACGGCCCAGACUCCUACGGGAGGCAGCAGUGGGGAAUCUUAGACAAUGGGGGAAACCCUGAUCUAGCCAUGCCGCGUGAUCGAUGAAGGCCUUAGGGUUGUAAAGAUCUUUCAGUUGGGAAGAUAAUGACUGUACCAACAGAAGAAGCCCCGGCUAACUCCG
This 435-nucleotide ribosomal RNA is filed under the name Rhodobacter sp. RNAcentral's name for it is "bacterial SSU rRNA". It matches the Rfam family "Bacterial small subunit ribosomal RNA", at positions 24 to 505 of the family's 1533-position model. The record is from RNAcentral. Lineage: Bacteria; Pseudomonadati; Pseudomonadota; Alphaproteobacteria; Rhodobacterales.